CCUGUACCCAUCCCGAACACAGAAGAUAAGCCUGCCAGCGUUGUAUACUGUACUAAAGUGCGAGAGCCUUUGGGAAAUAUGCAUCGCUGCUGACU
This 95-nucleotide ribosomal RNA is filed under the name Methanohalophilus portucalensis FDF-1. The record is from RNAcentral. Lineage: Archaea; Methanobacteriati; Methanobacteriota; Methanomicrobia; Methanosarcinales; Methanosarcinaceae.